GACGAACGCUGGCGGCAUGCCUAAUACAUGCAAGUCGAGCGAACAGAUGAAGUGCUUGCACUUCUGACGUUAGCGGCGAACGGGUGAGUAACACGUAAGGAAUCUACCUAUAAGCGGGGGAUAACAGUCGGAAACGACUGCUAAUACCGCAUAAUGCAGCGGCACCGCAAGGUGACAGUUGUUAAAGGAGUAAUCAGCUUGAGGAGGAGCUUGCGGCAGAUUAGCUAGUUGGUAGGGUAAUGGCUUACCAAGGCUACGAUCUGUAUCCGGUCUAAGAGGACGGUCGGACACACUGACACUGAAUAACGGGUCAGACUCCUACGGGAGGCAGCAGUCGGGAAUUUUGGGCAAUGGGCGAAAGCCUGACCCAGCAACGCCGCGUGAAGGAUGAAGUAUUUCGGUAUGUAAACUUCGAAAGAAUAGGAAGAAUAAAUGACGGUACUAUUUAUAAGCUCCGGCUAACUACGUGCCAGCCGCCGCCGUAA
RNAcentral lists this ribosomal RNA (485 nucleotides) under uncultured bacterium. RNAcentral's name for it is "partial 16S ribosomal RNA". It matches the Rfam family "Bacterial small subunit ribosomal RNA", at positions 28 to 523 of the family's 1533-position model. The record is from RNAcentral.